This 71-nucleotide transfer RNA is filed under the name Marmota monax (woodchuck). RNAcentral describes it as "tRNA.Ala". The stretch from base 3 to 63 matches the Rfam family "tRNA", at positions 6 to 65 of the family's 71-position model. From Rfam's summary of the family: Transfer RNA (tRNA) molecules are approximately 80 nucleotides in length. The record is from RNAcentral. Lineage: Eukaryota; Metazoa; Chordata; Mammalia; Rodentia; Sciuridae.
GGUGUGGCUCAGUGAUAGAGCAUGUGCUUAGCAUGUUUAAGGACCUGGAUUCAAUUCCCAGCAGAGCACCA